AGAUUUGUCCUGGCUCAGGAUGACGCUGGCUGUGUGCCUAAUACAUGCAUGUCGAGCGGAAGUAGCAAUACUUUAGCGGCGAAUGGGUGAGUAACACGUGCUUAAUCUACCUCUUAGAUUGGAAUACCUAAUGGAAACAUUGGUUAAUGCCGGAUACGCAUGGAGUCGCAUGACUCCGUUGUGAAAGGGGCCUUUAAAGCUCCACUAAGAGAUGAGGGUGCGGAACAUUAGCUAGUUGGUGAGGUAACGGCCCACCAAGGCUAUGAUGUUUAGCCGGGUCGAGAGACUGAACGGCCACAUUGGGACUGAGAUACGGCCCAAACUCCUACGGGAGGCAGCAAUCGAAUUCCCGCUUGCCACA
RNAcentral lists this ribosomal RNA (361 nucleotides) under Metamycoplasma salivarium. Its description in RNAcentral is "bacterial SSU rRNA". It matches the Rfam family "Bacterial small subunit ribosomal RNA", at positions 10 to 379 of the family's 1533-position model. The record is from RNAcentral. Lineage: Bacteria; Bacillati; Mycoplasmatota; Mycoplasmoidales; Metamycoplasmataceae.